AUGGAUUUAGAACCUGCUCCAGAAAGAAAACAAACUCCCUCGCUUGACACACAAAUUGUUUACGAUUCAUUAAAAAGCAAAAUUGCAUAUCCCAGUGCUGGCAGCUGAGUCCAUAUGGGUGCAAGGGGUAUUCACUCAUCUCUUUGUAUGCUGGCAGUACCAAACCGAAGUUUAGCACUGUGCAGCUGAGAUUUUGUGCAGCCAGACGAUGCAUGAGCAAACUUUUCCUCUCACUGGAAGAAUUCACGCUUGCCACAAGAAUAAUAAUUACAGAAAACUAAAAAUGCGCUGCUAACGAAUUAAUCCCUAACGGACAACACGCUAACGAGGGCAGUAAUGAUUUGAGGACUCUCUUCCUCGCAACAGGACUUGGCAUCUUCUGCUACAAUGGGCUAUUGUGCAUCCUCCUAACUCACUAUACCUCUUAUAGAUUCAAGAUGUCAAAGGUUGUCUGGCCCGGCUGACCAUGACAUGCUAGUUAACUCGUUCUACGGAGCACGUUGGGACUUUAUUGAAACUUUAAUUGCGCCCAAAAGCAGCUAGAGCCAGACUAUGUGGGAUCUGUAACACAUGGCUCCAGGUCAGCACAGCCCGGGAACCUGUUCUAACACAAACAAGCGGAGGGAAAAGUUAGAUCGGGGUCUCGGCUGAAAGGCAGCACCUCGCAAACCGCGCUCCUCUCACACGUGAUGAUUUUACACCACGCCACGACCGCACCGUCCCAGGCUUUUACAGUGAGCGACUCGCCGGGUAACGGACUGAACUUUCCACCUCCCCUCUCUACAAAAUAUUGCAUGGUAAAAAAUGCACGCGCACACGGACACUGGGAAGCAGCAGAUAAAGUAAAACAAACUGAGCGCUAGGCAGCCGACUGAGACAAGUUACUCUGCACAACAAGGCUUUUUCAAACUACUUCUUUGCAUACUUUUUUUUUUUUUUUUCCCUUAAGGAGAAUUGAAAAAGCUUCCCUCUGGAAACUGUAGUGCACAUUAACGAUCUCCUGUUACACAGGGGAAAGCACACAAGUGGGGCAAGUGUGAGGCUGCUCUACUGAAGAGUGUGAAAAAAAUCAAAUGUUAAUUUGAUAAAUGUGAGGUCUGGGACAUUUUGUCAAAGAGGGAGGGAAAGUAGAAAAGGGAGAAAAAAAAAAGCAGCCCUGCUGCCAACUCACCAUCCACCAAGUUCUGGCCGAGAUGUCGUAGCAGAGCUGCCAUUUGAUGGAGCCGUCGGAGGUUUUCCCUGCCAUUAUGCUGUCAGCAAGCUUCAUCUGAUGCUAACUCACGGGAGAUAAGACACCUAAUUGAGAAAACAUUUGCACUGGCAUGUUGGGCAACAUGUAGCCCGGUCCAUACCAUAUGGAAUCAUGGGUAAAAAAAAAAAAUCUCCUUGACAAUGAACCAAUCUCUCACAGACCCAGUGGCAAGGUGACAACCACCAAACUCACCGAGGAUUGUUUUUUCUUCAUGCAAAACUUCUCUGCAACACUCAAAAUUUACAUGAGGAAUUGACAGAUAACUUGGGAAGAGACAACUCCAAAACAACAAAUUUUGAAAAGUUAUGAAAUUCUGUUGCUGCCUAAUAUUAAAAUCCAUUUCCUGGAUAGCAAAGUCAAAGAUCGUAAUAGAUUUUUUGCCAAUUUCCCACUUCUUCUGGAGCACUGCAAGCCCAACAGAAGUAUUACGUUUAUGACAGCUGACUAUUAAGCAGGCAGUGAAUGCUUUCCAUUUAAAUCACCCUGCUGUGUCACACGGAGUGACAGUUGCUGGGCUGUGACCACCACCCCUCACUGACAGGGCACUCCAGCCUAUACAGUAGUGCCUUUCCUCAAGAGCUCAGAAAAAUGAACUUCUGAACUGGCAAACGGACUCUUGCCAGGAAUAUUUCUUAGGGCUGUGGAUCUAUGGCUAAUACAUCUUGCUCACUCAGAAACAGCUACACCCUGCAAAUCUUUUUGUGAUUUGGAUGCAAGAGGAAAAUGUAUCAAAACCAUCCACUUGAUUUUAAACAAUAUCCUUUUCUGUUUGUAUCAAAAAAGGGAGCUCGUGGGCACACUAUUCUUCCUUGGAUUGUUUUGUGUACUAACUGUUGUUUAACUGUUUGGCUACAGUAAAAUGAUCAUUCUGGGCUGCACAGAUUACAGAACUGCUAUUCAGUGCAGGACAGGACAAACUUUCAUUGAGUUUCAAUAAUACCUUCACGUUUCUGAGAUGUGUGAGAGGAUAAGCAAAUGAUUUAGGGUAGGUACAAACUGCUAAUGUAACAUGUAGGGACUAGGGGUUUGGGUUUAUUUUCCUCAGCCUUGCAAUCUGUUUAGACUACAUGAAAAAUACAUUAAUGAAUGAUCUAUGCAACUACUCAGCACACCAGUUUGCACUUUUAGCUUCAGAUAGCAGGUAUAAUCCCACUGCAGUUUACAGGAAAGGGUCUGACUAGCAUGGGAAGUGUUAAGUUUUAUUUUGAGUCCAGAAAGAAAAAGAUGGACACUGUGCCAGGAACUGUCUUUGCUCUGGCUAGGCAAAGUAUUCGUCAUCUUCUGUUACUGCAGGUUUGUUACCUGUCCUUUCAGUGGGUCGCAGAUUAUUGAAAAAGCCUCCCUCCAAAUAAUCACACAAAAUAUAAAGUAAAACGCUCGGUAACAAUCCUCAGUAACAGUCCUUGAAUCAGUGUCAGAUUCAAUUCUGUGCUGCUCUCCUGCUCCUACCUCUCAAACCCAUCAACAUACCCACCCGGCUUAUUAUUUAUUUAGUAUUUCAUGCCCAGUUGUGCUGCACAUCAUUCCAGACAUGUUCUGAUAAAUCUCUAUUCUAUAUGGACUUUCAGCACCUGGUGUAGUUACAGAGCUACUGACAAACUUUUUCUGCAUUGCUCUAUUAACCACUUCUUCCUAUAACAAUAUAUGACUUUACCUCCCACUAAUAAUUAUAAACACACCAACUAAGUAUUUUUUUACAUAAUACACUUUUCAGAUUAUGAAUGACAGAAGCAUGAAACCAUUUCCUUCCUGACAGUGGAGUGGUUAUGUGCAAAGAAAUGAGGAGUGCUGUUGGUUAACAGCAUUUUAAAUUCAGAACAAUUAGGUGCAGUUAACUUUGCCAUUGUUCUUUCUGAUGCUGGGUAUGGUGAGUUCUUACCCGUAGAGCAAUUACUCCUUUCAUAAGCGGCUGUUGUUAAUAGCAUUAAAACAAGAUUAAAUACAACAUGUUAAAUAUUGCAAUUAUUGUGGAAAAUAAAAUUAUUUGGUGAGCAUAAUGGGGAGCAAAUCAAGCAUUUAACAUGAUCCAGGAAAUGCUGCUCCAAACAAUUGCAUUUGUUUUAUGCAAUUUUUCCCCUUUGAUUGCUGACAGAUGCCGUUUUGGAAACAAACAUCUAAGUAGUUUUCCUUCAAUCAGGAAAAAAAACCACACACCAGAAAAUGGCUACAUGUUUUGAAUUUAACUCUUGUCAAUCAGCAUUCUGUACAACACUCCCUGUGAAUAGUACUGGGACAAAACGAUGCCUUCCAAAGACUAAUAAGCCACAAAGAUGUUUGCUUCUAAAUCAGAUCUGUUCUGAAGAUGGGAAAAGCCUUCGUGCAGCAUCGACAUUUGUGCAGACACAGCUGCAAAAUAAAAAUGCUUGCAAUACAGGAGUGAUAUUUCACAUUGAAAAUAAGUUAGGUGUGUAUGCUUGUGGGCUACAGGAGAAGAGAUUUGUUUUCUGACAGCUUCAGGCCUCAAGCAAUGGAUUGAAGCACUUGCCAGUUUCUUUCUGACUUCCUGCUGAAGAAGUAGCCAACUACCCACAAAUAAUUGGCUUAAUUGUUGAGCAGAAGUACCUGCAACAGUUCAAAUAGUGUGAGUGGGCCCCUCUACCUCCCCUCAGAAGCACAUUUGGAUGGGGAUACUGUAUAUGGAACCAGGAACAAAUGCUAAAAAAGGCUAAUAAAGUAUAUUAAUUCAGAUGACUGUAUCAAGCUGGCAUUUUACAGUCUACUGGAAACCAAAUGCAUGAGAGCAUUAGAAAUGUUGGCAUAGCGGGUGGUUUCUCCAAAUGUUGGCUUCUGCUAUUCAGAUUGGUAAAAGAAAUGUGGUAGAACUGUGUGCAUCUCCCAGCGCCAGACACAUCUUUAGGAUCUUAGUCCUCAUUACUAGAUUAUCUAUUAAUUGCACAGCACCCAUUGCUCAUUAACCUUCUCUUUAUUCCCUUUGCCUCCCCCUAUUUCUCCAGUUGCAAUUGCUCAGAACCUUUUCAGCUGAUUGCACCAGUGUGAUUUUAGAUCUGUUCCUAAUUUGAGAGGCGUUUUCCUUGGGAAGCCUGAACUUAGAUGAGUUACGAAGAGGAUUUCCUUAUCUCGAACAGCGACAAUUAGUUCAAGUGCCACGUGAGAGCAGGCAGUUGAUUUUUGGACAGCCUCUGAACUGAUGCAAAGUUGCUGACAACGAGUGUGUUCUAGCUUUUGGAAAUCCUAUAAUCCUGGCUUCAAUCAAGAGGAUCUGCUGUUGCUGAAGGCGUAAACAAGGAGAGAAGCAGCAUGUGACCACGGCUGCUGCACCUUCAAGGUCUCCCAAGCCAAAAUGAGUGCAAUGGUAAAGUUUCUACUGGUUGCUCAAUGUUACACACAUAUUUCAGAUGAUAUUUCUGAACCCAGGGAAAAUAGUCCUUUCCCCUCUGCAGGAAAAGUUGUUUUUGGACUCUGCAUUUCCCCCUGUAGCUCUGUUUUGUGUGUUCCUCCCCACUCCCUUCUCACUCCUCUGAUUUUCUUCCUACCAUCUGUAUUCCCCUUUUGCCUCAUCUGAAACAAGCAUCAAGAUCUUGUUUCUGACAGAACGGUCUGUCAAUAUGGAAACACACUGACAUCACAGACAGUGCUGUGACUUCAUGUCUGAAAGAAACAGGAGGAACAGAUGAAAGGAGUGAAGGGGAAGGAAUGACACAUACAAACAUUUUUAAAAAAUAAGUAAAAAUUCUUCUCUAUCAACCCAAAAUGUAAAGGAACAUAAACCAGAUUUAUUUUUAAGUCUAAAUAUAACCCAGUAUUUCUUAAUCUGUGACCGUAACUCAGUACAACAUUUCAACAUGCUCUUCACCUAAGAGAGGUCCCUGUCCCCCAGGAGCACAUGCUUGGUGGGCUCAAGGCCCAUGUGACAGCCAACAUGACCUCAAGAAGGACUGAACAGGGACUAAUCUGGGAAAAAGUUAAUAUCAUGCAUGUAUUGGAAGAAAUCUUCAGAAACAAGGGACUAAUCUAUACCAUCUAAGUAAAUGCAAAUUCAUAGAAUAAUAGAUAAAAGCAUUCAUCAAAAUCACAAACUCUAUUUGGAUGCAGCUGGAUCAAAGAUAUCACUACCUGCUGGGGUGGGGAUACAGGACAUACCCAGAAAAUACUGAGCACACAAGGGUGGAAUAUCACCUUACUAUUACUGUGUUUUUUCUUCCUAGUAUGAAAUAUUAACAAAAGUGUCUAACCAAUAUUUCUAUUAUUAGCAAGUUUUUUUGCAUAAGAAUUUAGGAGAAGUUAGAACCCCAUAUUUCCUUCACUAUUUGAAAUAUGUAUUUGGGCUCCAACAUUAGAGGGCAUCCAGAAGAUAUUGCUUUCCUGCCAUCUCCAGAGCCACUGGAAAAACCUCUAAUAAGGACAUUCGUAACUAGUAGGAGAGGAGCUCAAGAAAACUAAAAGGUUAAUAUAUUCUAACUAGAUGUUGGGUAUAGAAUGUCAGAUCUGUCAAAUUUCAUUACAGUUUGCUGCUCAAUGAAAAAGAUUUGAUUUCUUUUGCCACUGUCCUACUAUGUUCAAGUCACACAGUGCCAGCAGCAACCAGCCAACGACCACAGGCUGGCACUGAGCGGGCCCGAGUGGGAAGCCAGCCGCAAGGACCAUCUGUUUCCGAUUUCUAGCGAAGCCAAGAUGUGCAGUGAAGUGCAUUCCAUUCACCCAGCCAGCCUUCUCCCUGCUCAAGUUAUUAGUGUUACAAGUGAAAUUAUCUUUUCCAAACAGCGGGGGAGCUAUAAUCCUUAUGGAACAAGGCUUUAAAAAAAGGGGAAAAAAGAGAAGGGGGAAAAAAAAAAGAAAAAAGGACAGGAAAAAGGUCCCCCAACACUCCCCCCCUUCAAACAUCUUUUGUCAAAGUUGUCAAUGACACUGUUUGUAAAUUCAAUUGCCACAUUCACGGGUUUUAUAAUUUUAAAGGAUGUUCUAUUAAGAACUAUAUUCUCUAAGGGAAGAAUGUGUACGUCAGUUCAUGGGCUCUAAUGUAAUAAACCAUUCAAAUAUAUUUUGAGGGUUAUUUAUGAAUAAAGUUAAAAAUGACAAGAUGAAUGCUCAUUUAAUUCUCUCUAACAUGAAGCGCCUUCAAAAACAUCAUAGGUUUAGAAGUAUAAUUUAAAGUGCGAAUGCAUAAACAGUGCUAAUUACAUGCUACUUACAUUGUUUCAAUAUGUAAUGCAUAUGUUUAACCUCGUAGAGGAAGGAUUGGUCUUGGCACAGCAAUCGUGGGGAUUUAAGGGUAUGCUAAACUGAUAACUGUAGAAUGAGCUCUGACACAGGAUAUUGGUCUCCUACUGUUACCUAAAUGCCAGGUGAAACCAAAGGAUUUAUAGGAGGGCGGGUGGAAAGGGGAAAAAAAAAAAAGACAACACAAUGAAGUGAAACUGAGAAGUUUA
This is a long non-coding RNA of Myiozetetes cayanensis, 6639 nucleotides long. RefSeq lists it as uncharacterized. The record is from RefSeq and is a predicted model, not a curated record. Lineage: Eukaryota; Metazoa; Chordata; Aves; Passeriformes; Tyrannidae. The transcript has 3 exons.